UAGUUCGAGUAUCCUAACUCCUUGCAUUAGCCUGAUCUGCUUUUUCUCGUAUUUGUGACUUGAGUAUGUCUUUGUCUUUGUGCCUCUAACUUUGGAGAUUAGAACCACUUCAGAAGAAGUUCCACCAUUCAGAUCACUGUGGUAGUUCUAUUUACUCAAAGAGCCUAAUUGAUCCUGGCUUGGCUACUUAUUUGACUUGGUUUAGUAGAAUGGCAAAUGAGAAUGAAGUGCUUAUUCUCUUUGGUGACAUGCCACACACAGAUGUGUAUUUGUUCAAUCUUUUGUCGUAUUUACGAGAAGGUGUUAAUCUUAUUUGUUAU
This 320-nucleotide long non-coding RNA is filed under the name Arachis ipaensis. RNAcentral's name for it is "long non-coding RNA (AIPA_LNC001609)". The record is from RNAcentral. Lineage: Eukaryota; Viridiplantae; Streptophyta; Magnoliopsida; Fabales; Fabaceae.